UACAGAGUUGAAAAACUCCCUAAACCCACUGUGAACAUACCUAUAUCGUUGCUUCGGCGGGCGGCCCCAGGGCGGGGCCCCAGGCCUUCUUACAGGUGCCCGCCGACGGCCGUUACAGAACCCUCUUGUUUUAUUUACAGGUGCUCUGAGUACUAUGAAGACCAAAAAAAAUCAGUCAAAACUUUCAACAACGGAUCUCUUGGUUCUGGCAUCGAUGAAGAACGCAGCGAAAUGCGAUAAGUAAUGUGAAUUGCAGAAUUCCAGUGAAUCAUCGAAUCUUUGAACGCACAUUGCGCCCAUUAGCAUUCUAACGGGCAUGCCUGUUCGAGCGUCAUUUCAACCCUCAGGCCCUAGCCGGCCUGGCGUUGGGGCAUCUGCGGGUGACCGCAGGCCCUGAAAGAUAGUGGCGGUGUCCGCUAGCACUCCGGGCGCAGUAGGUGUCUUUCUCGCCGAGGACUGUCUUGCGGGCUGCCGGCCGUAAAACACCCCCUAAAGGAUGGAAGGUUG
Molecule: unclassified non-coding RNA, 507 nt
Filed under: Sebacinales sp. 1 CG-2012
Lineage: Eukaryota; Fungi; Basidiomycota; Agaricomycetes; Sebacinales
Description: sequence contains ITS1, 5.8S rRNA gene, ITS2
Rfam family: 5.8S ribosomal RNA (bases 180-334)
Source: RNAcentral